Molecule: ribosomal RNA, 491 nt
Filed under: Cristaserolis gaudichaudii
Lineage: Eukaryota; Metazoa; Arthropoda; Malacostraca; Isopoda; Serolidae
Description: partial 16S ribosomal RNA
Rfam family: Bacterial large subunit ribosomal RNA
Source: RNAcentral
CUCUUAUAUUAUUAUAAGUAGAGUCUGCUCAAUGAGUAUUUAAAUGGCCGCAGUAUUUUGACUGUGCAAAGGUAGCAUAAUCAUUUGUUUUUUAAUUGAAAACUGGAAUGAAAGAUUUGACGAAGGAUUUGCUGUCUCAAUAAUAAAGUUUAAUUUAAUUUUAAGGUGAAAAGUCCUUAUAUUUUAAGGGGACGACAAGACCCUAUAAAACUUUAUUUUGAUAAAAAAAAAAGUUUGAGAUAUAAUAAGAUUGUUAGAGAAAUUUUACUGGGGCGGUAAGACGUAAAAGUAUAAACAUGUCUUAUUUAAACAAUUUAUAUGAUUUUAAUAGAUUUUUAUUUGUGUGUAAAUAGAAAGUUACUUUAGGGAUAACAGCAUAAUUUUUUCUUGGAGUCCUUAUUGAAGAAAAUGAUUAUGACCUCGAUGUUGAAUUGAGAUAUCUUUUUAAUGCAGAAUUUAAAAAAGAGAGUCUGUUCGACUUUUAAUUUCUC